Long non-coding RNA from Ctenocephalides felis (cat flea), 660 nucleotides. RefSeq lists it as uncharacterized. The record is from RefSeq and is a predicted model, not a curated record. NCBI's taxonomy places the organism in Eukaryota, Metazoa, Arthropoda, Insecta, Siphonaptera, Pulicidae. The transcript is spliced from 5 exons.
GCUGAUAACCCCUACGAAAAUGGAUUUCAAACUAGGGAAAUUUUCUCCAAUAGAGAAGAUAAAUACAAAGUUAGAUAAUAUAUUAGAAAUUAUUAAUCCUUUGUCACCCAAAAAAACAAGCAAGGCUUGAAAACAUGCGAGAAGAAAAAUAAGAACACAUAUCGAUAAAUAAGAACACAUAUUAAGAUUAAGUGUUGAAAAGAAAAUGAAUUGUGGAGCAUUUCUUAAGUGAUGAUAUUGUAUUACAGAAUAGGAAAUUAACAUAUUUAAUACGAAACCAGCAAAGUAUAUAGGUCAUGUGCAAUGCAAAUUCUGUUUAUGUAUUGUGAUAAUUGAUUUAUCACAUAAUUAUUGAAAUUUCUGACAGACCAGUCAAAAAUCACAUAACCUCAAUUCAGUGAUAUGAUAUGAAUAUUAUAGAGAAAGAGUGCUCAUAACCCCUAUGGGUUAUGUCAAAAUGGAAUUCAAACUAGGGAAAUUUGCUCUAAUCAAGAAGAUAAAUUGUCACCAAAGAAACAAGCAAGACUUAAAAACAUUCAAGAAGGAAAACAAAGAAUGCACCGGAUAUCACACAUUAUAUGGAUUAAGUGUUGAAGAGAACAUGAAUUGUAAUUCAGAUCUUGAAAAUUAAUAGGAUAAAAUCAAUGCAAGAAAAUUGAG